AACGCGAAGAACCUUACCAGGGCUUGACAUUUAGGUGAAGCGGCGGAAACGUCGUGGCCGAAAGGAGCCUAAACAGGUGGUGCAUGGCUGUCGUCAGCUCGUGUCGUGAGAUGUUAGGUUAAGUCCUGCAACGAGCGCAACCCUCGUCGUAUGUUGCCAGCGGUUAGGCCGGGCACCCAUACGAGAUCGCCGGCGUCAAGCCGGAGGAAGGUGGGGACGACGUCAAGUCAUCAUGCCCCUUAUGUCCUGGGCUACACACGUGCUACAAUGGCCGGCACAAUGGGCUGCCAACCCGCGAGGGUGAGCGAAUCCCUAAAGCCGGUCCCAGUUCGGAUUGGAGGCUGCAACCCGCCUCCAUGAAGUCGGAGUGCUAGUAAUCGCGAUCAGCACGC
RNAcentral lists this ribosomal RNA (392 nucleotides) under uncultured Atopobium sp. RNAcentral describes it as "bacterial SSU rRNA". It matches the Rfam family "Bacterial small subunit ribosomal RNA", at positions 958 to 1357 of the family's 1533-position model. The record is from RNAcentral. Lineage: Bacteria; Bacillati; Actinomycetota; Coriobacteriia; Coriobacteriales; Atopobiaceae.